Molecule: long non-coding RNA, 304 nt
Filed under: Zostera marina
Lineage: Eukaryota; Viridiplantae; Streptophyta; Magnoliopsida; Alismatales; Zosteraceae
Description: long non-coding RNA (ZMAR_LNC001898)
Source: RNAcentral
GACACUUCGCAAAGAUUUGAAAGCUGCUACUGCUGGCCGUGCUAAAGAUACUGAAGAUCUGAAGAGCCAGCUAGCUAGCAAGAAAGGGCACGUAGCCUCGCUUGAGGCUACGAUAGUGGAGUUAAAGAAGCAAGCUGCUCAGAGCCAACGAGAAACCACUGAGCUGAAAAGCGAGCUCGCGAGUGCGGAAGAAGAGGUUCUAGCUCUUAAAGGUGACAAUGCCGCACUUGCUGGAAAGGCUGCAGGAUUGGAUUUGGAUGUGCGCUACCAAUCCGACCAGCUUCAAGAGCUCAUAUUCUUUGGU